Long non-coding RNA from Mesocricetus auratus (golden hamster), 936 nucleotides. RefSeq lists it as uncharacterized. The record is from RefSeq and is a predicted model, not a curated record. NCBI's taxonomy places the organism in Eukaryota, Metazoa, Chordata, Mammalia, Rodentia, Cricetidae. The transcript has 2 exons.
GCUUGACCCAUCUGUGACCUUGUCUAAAGGAUCUCCCUGCUGUUUCAUGCAAAGCAGACAUUUCUAGGAAUAGAAACUGAAACCAAUUCUGACAGCAGCCCUUCCAUGGAGAGUUAGCAUAAUUAGAGCUCAGAUCCAGCCAGAAAAGUGUAGAACAGGAAGGAUAAAGUAACUGGGAUCAGGCUGUCCAUCCCUAGUGCUCCUCCUUUCUUUAUGCAGUUCUUCUGAGAACCUCAGCACUGCACACCUCACCUGUUUUCUUCCUGAACAUCCUGAGUGUGAGCUCCAGGUUUAGAUCAUUCCACAGUCACUCUCUUCACUAUAGUGCAAAGAGCUUUCCUAAGACGAGAACAUUCUCAGAUCAAGCUCGCCACUGCUGAGGUCUUACUUUGGGCUGGAUGAUGCCUCAUUGGAAAACAUUGCUCAAGAUUUUAACAUGUCCAUGGAUGAACUCAAGGACUACCUUCGGUUUCCCCAUUUGUUUGAGGAAGACAGCAAUGUGCCCUUGGAAGACAAACUAUGGAAAUAUAUCCAGCACAUUUCCUCAGUUACUGGUGGACCAGUUGUAUUUACUACAGAAAGACUUACUAUCUGCAGAAUCUCUUUCUUGAAACUGCAGCAAAUGAUGCCAUAACACUUCUUAAUAGGGAAGAUCUUUUGGAAAAGACCCCUGACUACUGGGAAUGAUGGGAAAUGAGACACAAACUCCAAUCGGUGUUUAUGUCUGGCCUUGCUUUGGACACUGACUCCUAACCUACUCCCGAGUAAAAAACCUUGUCUGUGGAGAGCCAGAGAGUUCAUCCUUUUCCUCGUCCUGAGCCUGAAGAUUAUUGUGGCAAGAGCUCAAGUGUGCUAUAGCAGUAGGAUAAGUAGAGUCACCAACAUUGUGCAAAUGCAUGAGGAAACCUCACUUCCAAUAAACUCAUAUGUGAAAAA